Carassius gibelio (silver crucian carp) is the source of this 4536-nucleotide long non-coding RNA. RefSeq lists it as uncharacterized. Lineage: Eukaryota; Metazoa; Chordata; Actinopteri; Cypriniformes; Cyprinidae. The record is from RefSeq and is a predicted model, not a curated record. The transcript has 7 exons.
AGAUUUUGUAACAUAUGUGUGUCAGGUCGCUGCUCAAACACACGCUCGGGCUUAUUUUCACAUCUAACUCGGGCCGUUUCGGUAAUAAAUGUGGGGUUCUGACCAUAGAGCUUCAUCCAUUCUGGACGUCGCCGUGCUCUGGCCACAUAUUCCCAUCUGGAUAUUUAAGGGUAGGCUAUUCUCCCUCUAUUCAUCCAGCGUCCUGCGGUCUCCCUGCAGCGGUGCGAGCGAGCGUGAGCCCUCUGCGCAUGCGCGCUCCGCCCAACACGCCAACAACCCCAAACUGGCAGAAAUUGGGACUGUGCAGGAAAUAUGAUCCGAUGACAUUUUAUAAGAUUGAUUUCAUCAUUUUAUAACGGACAGUCUUUAUAAUAUUCUAUCUAUCUAUCUAUCUAUCUAUCUAUCUAUCUAUCUAUCUAUCUAUCUAUCUAUCUGAUUGACCAUUAGUUCCCCAAUGUACUGAACUCAAAAAUAUUUAUUCAGUUAUUAUAAGCAGAUAAAAUAAGUACAAUAGAUAAAUUGUAAACAGUUUUCUUAGUCACCUUUAAUUCUUGCUGUAUAUACAUGAAAACAUACAUAAAUGUAUGCUUUUUUAUCCUGAAAAUUAAUUUCUUCAUUAUAUAUUAUUAACCGAUAUAAUAAUAUAAUUACAGUUUUCUCAGUCACUUUGGUGCAUUUCUCAGAUCAGAAAUUAAAUUCUCAAAAUUACUUUCUCAACCUCCACAUCAUUGACAGACAGACAGACAGACAGACAGACAGACAGAUAGAUAGAUAGAGACAGAGAGACAGACAGAUAGAGACAGACAGAUAGAUAGAUAGAUAGAGACAGAGAGACAGACAGAUAGAGACAGACAGAUAGAUAGAUAGAUAGAGACAGAGAGACAGACAGAUAGAGACAGACAGAUAGAUAGAUAGAUAGAGACAGAGAGACAGACAGAUAGAGACAGACAGAUAUAUAGAUCCUGAAACACAAGGCUAUACGGCUGGAUAAUGUCAGGGCCGUUGUGGUUGAUGAGGUAUUGAUUGAUUGUUAUUCAUUUAUUAUUGUUUAUUAAUUUACUGUAUUUUGUGUAAUGUCUAUUUAUUUAUUGUUUUAUUUAUAGUAGUUUAUGUUUGUAUUAAUUUAUUUAUUUAUGUUUUAUUUAUUUACUGUAUUUUAUGUACGAUUUGAUUAUUUAUGUUACAGUAUAUUAAUUUUUGUUUUGUUUUAUUUAUUUAUUUAUAUUUUAUGUAUGUAUUUUUUUAAUUUGUUUCAGUUACUAUAUUUUAUACAUUGUUUUAUUAAUUUACAUGUAUAAAUGAAUUUUUGUUUUAUGUAUUUAUUAUGUUUUAUCUAUUUGUUGUUUAUUGUUUUUAUUUAUCGUUUUAUUUACAUGUUUAUUGAUUAAUACAUUUAUUUAUGUAUCAUUCUUUUAUGUUUUAUUGAUUAUUUAAACAUAUUUUAAUCAGUGUUAUUAUGAAUAGCAUUCUCAAAAACGGCAAAGGUGGAUACCACGCCGAAGAUGAGAUUCCAGCAACAGGUUCUUGAGGUUUUGGAGCAGGUCCCGCUGUUGACGUCUGUUGGAUUGAAAGCUUCUGUCGAUUAGCUUGUUGACAGAAAUGCAGUUAUAGUGGAAGUCUAUGGGGCAGUCUUUGCCCUCCUCUCCAGAGGAAAUGGGUUGGUCCUCAAAUGGCUUUGCUCCAGGAAAACUAUCAACGGCUCAGGAAAUGGAGAAUUUAUUCAAGAUUCAAGAUUUUUAUUUGUCACACACAUGGUUAUAUGGAGAGCAUAUGACCAGCGGUGAAAUGUAAGUAAAUAUAAAUGAUAACUCACAGCCCAUGGAAAUAAAAUGACUGCCCCCAGGAAAUUGUCAAUCAAAACAAAUAAAUAUUGUAUAUGUUAAUGUAUAAUAAUACUAUAAUAUAUAUUUAACAUUUUAGAACAAUUGUCCACCAAAAAUAUUAAAGAACUAAUAAAUAUGAGAGUCUUUAUUUAAUAUCAUAUCUUAUAUUUUAGAAAACAAUUGUCCAUCAGAAAUAUGAAAUAACAAAAAUGGUAAAUAUGUAUUCAGGAAUACGAAAUAGAUAAAAGUAAAUAAGUAAACACAAUUCUUUAUUAAUAAUAUAUUUAUUAAUGUAGAAUAAUUAUCCAUUCAUAUUAAAUAUCAAUUGCUAAAUACGUUCAUAUUUAGAAAUAUGAAAAAAAAUAUAAAAAAAAAAUAUAUAUAUAUUAUUAUUUUAUCUUGAACUGAAGUGUCCAUAAAAAUAUAUUAACAGUUGAUAAAUAUGAGUUCAUAAAUAUUAAAGAAAUAAUAAAACAUUAUUUUACGUUACAAAGUGUUUAUAAAUAUUAUAUUUUAGAAUCAGUGUUCAUCAGAAAUUCAUAAAUGUGAAAUUAAAUGAAUAAAUAAAUAUACAAAUAUUGUGAAUUAAAAAUAUAAUUGAAUAUGAAUGCCACAUAUUUGUGGGUUUGUUUUCAUUAGGAUAUUAUGUAAAUUGUGAUUUGUUCGUGUGUGUGUGUGUGUGUGUGUGUGUGUGUGUUUACAGGACAGAAAGCUGCAGUGGGAACGCAACAAAAAAGGCAAUGGAAAAAAAAUAUAUAAAAAAUUAUAACAUAUUUUAUUCUUUUCUAUUCAGUUAUAUUUAAUAUAUUACAUCUGUCUGUAUUUUGUUUUACAUUGAAUAUUUUUUCAUUAUUGUGCAUUAAAAUGAAGAUUAACAAUGAAUAAAUCGUGUAACUCUAGUAGACAGCGUCAUCUGUUGGUAGUUGAGCGUUACUACACGCCUUUGCGUCAAACACACAACUGCAGCAGCAAGACAGAGGCCCCCACAGAUGAGCACAGACACCAUGAGGUGAGAGGGUUCAGACUGACAUGACAUCCGCCUCACGUUCAGCACAGGUGAGGAGACCCACAGCUCAUGUGAGCAGAACAAGUGCUCAACGACCUCAAGAGAUGAAGAUGGAGAACAGUGUUGCUCACUCUCGCAGUUCAAGCUAGACUCUUCCCUUUAAGACAGAGUUUGUGGAGGAAGAGGAGGACGAUCACUGCAUCACCAGCCGGAUAAACCUGGAGGAUUUGGGACUGUACUUCAGCCCAGACCAGUGGAGACCGGCUCAGGGUUACUGAAGGAAAGCCUCCAAGAUGGCCAUGAUUACCACACUGAGGACACCAACGCCAAACUGAUCCGAGAGCUGAAAGCAGAGGUGGAGAAGCUCUGUGUUGCUCAGAUGAGCUCUCAGGGCAUCAAACCCAAGAAAAUGAGACGGUUUCAGCAAGAGAUCGCCUCUCUUUAGACUAAACUCUCUCAACUGGAGUAUGAAAUGGCCGAGGCUCACAGAACUUAGAAAGAAAGACUGGAAGAGGCAGAGAGGAGGAAGCGUGAAGAAACCAAAGAGCUGCAGACUUGAAGAAGAGAUUGAGGCGGCUCGGUUGAAGGCCAAAGAGGAGAUGAUGCGGGGCAUUCAGGUGGCAAAAGAAAUGGCACAGAAAACGCUGAGCGAACAGAAGAGUCAGUACGAGGAGAGGAUUGGCCGAUCAUGAUAUCCGUCAUGCUAAGAUUGUAGAGGCGCUUGAAGCGGAGAAGAGGAAGAUUGCAGAAGAUCUUGCUCAGGUCGAGAGAAAACGUACUCUUAAAAUGACCCAGACCCCUAAAACGGGAACAUGCACACUUUAAAUUGAAAAGACAUGGGGGUUUUCCAUCAGGGAUGUUCACAAAAGUGUGUUUUUCACCAUAUUUUUGUUCAAUGUUUGCAACAUAGCCACAGUGGGAUGCCUUGAAGCUGUCUUUGAUUAUAUAUUAUUAGCACUGAUUAUCACUUAACUAAGUUCAAGUUCACGUGUGCAUUUGGUCUCUUUGUACGUAUAUAAGUUGUAAUAUUAUACUGAAUAUAUGAUGCUUCUCCCUGUGUUGAAGGAAACAAGAUGCAUUAAGAGCUGGGGGUGAAAACUUUUGGAAUUUGAAGAUCAAGGUCAAUUGUACUUAAUUUGUGUACCGGGAAACAUACAAGUAUCUUCUGUUGCUUAAGAAGGGCAGAACUAAAUGGAAAAAAUAUAUAUUUCAACAAAAUAAGAAAAAUUUGGCCAUCUUCAUCGUGUUCAAAAGUUUUCACCCUCCAGCUCUUAAUGCAUCUUGUUUCCUUCUGGAGCAUCAGUGAAUGUUUGAAUCUUUUUAAAUAAUUGUGUUUGAGUCCCUCAAAUGUCCUCAGUCUGAAAAGAUGCAUCUCAAAAUCAUAAAGUCACUGCUGGAAAGGGUUCAAAUAUGCAAAGAUGCUGGAAAACUGAAGAAUCUGCAGGACCUUAAAGAUUUUUCUGAAGAACGCUGCUCAGUUUAACUGUUCAGAACAAACAAGGGACUCAUGCACAACCAUCACAAAACAGAAAGACAGUCGAGGAUCAUCAGGUAACAGAACACAAUAUUAAGAACCAAGGGUUCCCAAACUUUUGAGUGGGGUUAUUUGAAUAAUUUCAGCAUUUAUUUUGUCUUGUGGACUAAAUGUUAAUAUCUUUUAUGUACAAUAUCUUACUCAGGACAGUACUAAAUAAAAUGUAACAUGCA